ACUCCUACGGGAGGCAGCAGUAGGGAAUCUUCCACAAUGGGCGCAAGCCUGAUGGAGCAACACCGCGUGAGUGAAGAAGGGUUUCGGCUCGUAAAGCUCUGUUGUUAAAGAAGAACACGUAUGAGAGUAACUGUUCAUACGUUGACGGUAUUUAACCAGAAAGUCACGGCUAACUACGUGCCAGCAGCCGCGGUAAUACGUAGGUGGCAAGCGUUAUCCGGAUUUAUUGGGCGUAAAGAGAGUGCAGGCGGUUUUCAAGUCUGAUGUGAAAGCCUUCGGCUUAACCGGGAGAAGUGCAUCGGAAACUGGAUAACUUGAGUGCAGAAGAGGGUAGUGGAAC
Molecule: ribosomal RNA, 340 nt
Filed under: uncultured bacterium
Lineage: Bacteria
Description: bacterial SSU rRNA
Rfam family: Bacterial small subunit ribosomal RNA
Source: RNAcentral